This 921-nucleotide long non-coding RNA is filed under the name Linum usitatissimum (flax). Its description in RNAcentral is "long non-coding RNA (LUSI_LNC006190)". Lineage: Eukaryota; Viridiplantae; Streptophyta; Magnoliopsida; Malpighiales; Linaceae. The record is from RNAcentral.
AUUAGGGUUCAUAUCUCCCCUGAUUCUUCGAUUAUUAUCACAGAUAAGUCAUAUAAUAUCGAUGCAUGCACUUAUUCUUUCCUUCUUCUUCGUGUAUUAUGAGUUUCUCACAACUUGUACUCUAUAUAUAGGGUCCCCUUUCUGUGUUGGGAGCAGUAUCCUAACAUCGAGCUACAUGCAGUCUCCUAGCAUCGACCACUACUAAGAAAAAACAGAGAGUAAGUUGUUUAGGUUUUUGAUUCGUUUUUUUCAUUGAGUCUGUAGGUUUUCUGCUGAAAUAAAGGGUUAAAACUAUUGUCCUUGACUCUUUGUGUUCGUGCAUGUGUAUUGUGUAGGUUUUGGAGCUGUCAAUCUGUGGACUGUGGCCAUCAUCAUCCAUCAAGUUUUGGUGCGAGUACUGUAGGGUUAGAACAAGGUAAGCUGAUUAGGGUUUCUGAUUAUCCAUAUAUGCAUUUCUGUUCUUUUCCCAGAAGCAAUUAACGUUUCUGUUUCUCGUUCUUGUUUAGGGUUUCUGUUGUUAAGGAGCUUUUGGGAUCAUCAAGCUUCUGUCACUAUAAUCAUCAAGAUUCUACUCAACAUUGGAUAAGGUAACCAUCUGAACACAGUGUAUUGUUGGUGUUGUUUGGAAAUUGGAAUUGAUUAGCUUAAUAGGUUAUAGUAACUUUAUUUAGUUUUGAAACUGUAUUGUUUGUGUGUAUGGAACAACUUGGCUGAUUGGUUACUAUAUAGAGUUGAUGUGCUGAACUGAUUAGUUACUUUGUAUUGCAUUGAGUUGUUGUAAGCUUGUUUGUUGAUGGAAAUGCACUGAUUAAUUUUUGAAUGUUGCUUAGUGACAGUGAACUUUUGAAUGUUGCUUACUAAUUUUCUGGAAUUUAAAGAAUUCAUGUUCAGAUUCAGAAUGAUGUAUGGAUUUUAAGUUAU